AAAGCCCUUAAUCAUUCAAGAUCUCUAACUUAAAGCCUCGGGAGGUGACUAAAGUUACUUUGCUUAAAAAUAUUAUUAAAAAGAGGAGUGCGUUUUACAAGUGCAAGCUGAUUCUGAGCAAUGCUUUUGAGAGCUAGUAAGAAUGAUGGAGUGUACGUGUGUGCAAGAGUAAAACGACUUGUCUUUUAUACAUUAAUGAUCUAACUAAUUAAGCUGAAAAUCUUGUAUCUUCACAUAUCUUUGCUUGACCAAGUAUUUUGUCAAGACUCGACGUCUAAUUUUGUUGAUCACAUGCAUAAUUGACUUAGUCUUUGUCAUGUGAAGUAGUCGUUUAAACCUGCAUGACAAAAAUACAAGAGAUACAAUGGUGAUACCAAUACACUGGUUAUUUAGGAUCUUGGGCCAUUCAAUAUAUUAGUCAAUAUUCAAGAUGUUGAGCAUAAAUAUAAAACUACAAAAUACUACCCAUAACAAUUGCCCCUGAAAAAUUUCCUUUCAAGAUCUUGGAAGACGGAGAUUUCUAGACUUGAAAUCAUGUCGUUAGGCGGUGAUGGGACGCGAAACUUUUAUCUAGAUAAAUCCCAUCCGUUCAACUUCCUAGGAAAUUCAAAUUUUCAAAGGUCGAUAUUUUCGUUCAAAUCUUCCUAUAAAUUCAAACUUUGUUCAUAUAUAUAAAUACUUGCGGUCAAGAAGAUUGUUCAACGCCUUAGGUAAAGUUUUCUCUCCAUUUUCUUUAUCGUUCCUCUUCUUUUCGUUUUAUCAUUAUGGGUAAAAAAAACUCACCAGAUCAAAAUCUAGGGUUGAGGGACCUGUGUUAGAAAAUUUCACUGACUUAGGUAUAUUGCCUCGAGAUGAAAGUGAAAGUUGUGCUUUCUUGAACUCUGAUAUCAAGUUACUUCGAUCAUACGAAAAUUUUCCUUUUGACAGUCUUAAGGGAUUUCGACACUAGGUUGAAGCCUGGUUUCAUAUCUCUUUAUUUGGGUUUGUUUUUAUGAUUUUCCGUUUUCUAUUUGGAUUUCAUUCCCCUUUCUUCCUUUGAUUUCUAUGUUUUUUGAGGUUCCCCAAUUUUCUUGUGCCCAAAUCAUGCCCAUGGUUUGACAUAUUUUGUUCUGGGUUGUCUUCCUUAAUGAAUCUGAAAACCUAGAUCUUGGUUUGUCCGGGAUUGCUAGUAUCUAUGACUUCCACAACUUUGGUUCUUAUCGUAUUAUCUUCAAGAUCAAACCUGGAAAAAUCCAUUUGAUCCUUAAGACUUCCUUUCACGAUGUCGGAUGGAAGAGAAAGUAUUUUUUUCAUCAACAAACAGUCUCUUGCAGGUUUCUUGCUAAGUGAUUGGGUUACUACGGGUAAGAUUCUUAUUUCUACAGUUUAUUGUAUUAUUUUUAUUUAAAAGUCGACUCUUGUUUUUUGAUUUAUCUUGAAUAGUACCGCAGUUUGAGAAACUAUUUCCUCCCAAGGAAGACACUAAGGAAAAAGGUUAAAAGUUUAAUGGCAAUUCUUGCAGAGAAUAGGGUUUUCAAAGUCAUCUUGGAGUGUUCUUAGGAUAAGGAUCUUAACAUAUCUUUGGUUAUUAGAGAUCUAGAGCCCAUCAACAGUCUACUGGUAUGUUAACUUGUUCCUUUCUUACUUUUUGAUUUGUUUUUGAUGUAAUUUUCUUCUUCUUCAGGUUUCAUGCUUACUUGACCAGGUUUGUCAUUCUCUUAUUUCAAUGUCGAGGGCUUUCUUUCUAGAGGGAAAGCCUACAAGUCCUAAUCCCAAGAAGAGGAAGCUUACUUUGGAACUUGGGCAAUAAGUUUUUGACGGUUUAGGCCCUUUUGAAAUUAAGUUGAAGUUAAUUACUCUUACUCAAACUAUAAGUUAUACUUAUCUUCAUUGUGUAAUGUCCCAAAAACCAUAAUAAAAUUUCUCAUUUUACUUUGUAUCAUAGUAUGUAUCCUUGUGUGUAGGAUGUUGAUAUGUUGUAGUAAUUUGUUAGAUUGGUAGAUCUAUUAUGAUUACCUGUAUUGUUGGUUAUUGUUUGUUUGUUUGUUUGUAUAUGUCGAC
This 2040-nucleotide long non-coding RNA is filed under the name Lactuca sativa (garden lettuce). RNAcentral's name for it is "long non-coding RNA (LSAT_LNC009793)". The record is from RNAcentral. Lineage: Eukaryota; Viridiplantae; Streptophyta; Magnoliopsida; Asterales; Asteraceae.